ACGGAGGGGGCUAGCGUUGUUCGGAAUUACUGGGCGUAAAGCGUACGUAGGCGGCUUUGUAAGUUAGAGGUGAAAGCCCGGGGCUCAACCCCGGAAUUGCCUUUAAGACUGCAUCGCUUGAACGUCGGAGAGGUGAGUGGAAUUCCGAGUGUAGAGGUGAAAUUCGUAGAUAUUCGGAAGAACACCAGUGGCGAAGGCGGCUCACUGGACGACUGUUGACGCUGAGGUACGAAAGCGUAGGGAGCAAACAGGA
RNAcentral lists this ribosomal RNA (253 nucleotides) under uncultured prokaryote. Its description in RNAcentral is "partial 16S ribosomal RNA". It matches the Rfam family "Bacterial small subunit ribosomal RNA", at positions 525 to 777 of the family's 1533-position model. The record is from RNAcentral.